AUGAACUGGCCUCGAUCGGCAGGAGCAGCCAGUCCUGGCAGUGCAGCCUUCAUGUUCUCUGGUCGUUUGGUGCAGCCCAGUGACGUGGGAGGCUGGGGAGGCCUCGAGGUUACCUCCCUGGAGGAGAUCAGAGAAUGGGCUGGGCUUGCAGGUUCCGGCGAGAGGACGGUGCUGGAGGUGCUGAAGGGACAGCGCCCGUGUGGAAUCCGCUGCCACCCUGGCCGCCUGGGUGAGGACCAACUGUCUCCCCCGCUGGAGCUGGGCGCCACAACCUUCCAAGGUGUGGCAAAGCUGCUGAAGCCAACGCCAUUUGUAGACGGGAGAACCACGAGCUGCAGGGUGCAAAGCUCCACCUGCAUCCAGAGCUGGCCCCUCCAGCCUGGCAUCCCCACAGGGGCCACACUCUCAGCCACCCCCAGGAGGCUGUGAAGCCAGCUGAUGGCUCCCCAAGACUUCAGGAGGGUGUUCCCCUUUUUUUCCUGAAAAAUAAGAUGAACAGGUUUGUCUCUCCCAAUGUCCUGGAACACCAGAGCACCUUAAUCCUUGCUCCCAUCUCAGCUCUGGUGCAUCUGCUACAACGGGAACUGGGGAUCCCUUUUCCUUCAUCCUCUAUGGAUCAGCCCUAACCUUGGGUCCCACGUGGCUCUGACAUCAAACCUGAGACGACUGCUUCCCCAGGAGGGGCUGCGCACAGCCCGGGCACUGCCGAGGGACACCGGAUAGUCUGAGGCUUCCCCCAACAGGAUGAGGGGCCCCAGCCCUGCCGGGUUUACAUUUUGAGCUACGGCUGCUCCCUCGGGUCUUCUGGUGAGUGGGAAAGACCAGCGGCGCCAGCCAGCGUGUGAGGGGAGAUGCCGCGGUGCCCUCUUCCUUCUGUGCACUGACGUCCUCUCCCUCCCCGAACACACCGGGCUGGUGCCUCCUCCCUUAAAAACGGAGAGAAACCACAGCUGCCUGGGGCAAGCCCACUUCAUGCUGGUUAUCACAGCCCAUGUGUGGGCACAGAGGCAGGGAGGCGGGGGUCCGGAGCGUGCCCCCGAAUGUGCACUAGCUUGUGUAAGUUGCUGUCUAUCCCCAACAUCCUGGAUAAUGUACAGGGUAGCAUUCUGCCUGCACCGACCCUUCUGUUUACAGCCGAAACACAAAACAACAAACACAGGCCCCGUGGCCACUAGCUCUGGAAACCAAAGGGCAAACACAACCCACGGGCUGACCCUGCGCCAGGGCUAGGGCUGUUUUAUGAGCAGGUCCCCUGUGAGGACAGCACCAGCGAUUCAGCAGAGGCCGCCUCUAGGUAGAAUCCAUGGUGCCAGGCAAACGUGCGAAUAGGCUGGAUGUAGUCAGAGAUGCACUCAAAGAUCACACCCCUCCUGGGUGUGCAGAGGAGGGCCCGGUGGCGGGGCACCUCGGGGGGUGGGCAGCACUGAGCCUCAGGGGUCCCUUGGUCUCCCAGUAGCAGCUCCAGAGGGACCCCUCCCAGGACGCAUGGCCCCCAGCAGUGGGGAGGCCACCUCUGCCCACCUGCCCCCAAGGAAACACUGUCCCAUUUGUGUCCAGGAGGCACAGAUCUGCCUCCUUUGUCCUGAGGGGUGGCACUGGGCUUCCCGCUGGCCUCUCUGCUGCCCUGGGGCCACCCUCCAAUCCCUGCCCCUGCCACAGGCCCCUUCUGGAGUCUGCAGAGUGAAGUCUAGGCCCCGUGGGGGGUUCAAGGCCCUCUAGGAGUGACUCUCCCAUCCCAACUCAGAUGGCCCUUUCUCCUCUUCUUGCCUGCGGGCCACUGGGGCCACCCCCUUUCCCCUGGGCUGUUUUCCUUGCAGGGCACCUCCAGCCUCCACAGACCCUCCCUGCACACACCCUGGGGUCUAGGGGGUCCUACUGCCUGGCAACCCUGACACCAAGAGCAUGAGGUCACCAUGGGCCGAGCCCCAACAGAGUCUUGGGGAGGGCCCGUACCCCCACCCCUUCCCGGAGGUGUCCACUUCCAGGGCCCAGCUGAGAGGACUCCAGUCCUGCUCAGGUGGCUCUGCACUGCUCUGGGACCCCAGGGAGCGACGGGGCCACCAGGCAGGUCCGCUUGGUUAGUACCGCCUGACUCAAAGGUGACUGCAGGGUCAGUGUGCACAUGGUCCGGGGGAACGGGCAGGCUCAGCCCAGAGGUCUGGUCCUGCGGGCCUUGGCCCCUUCCGCCUCCGCCUCCCCUCGCCUCCCGCUCCCCUCCUGUCUCCCCUCUUACCCUCCCCUCCCAUUUUCCCCAGCCCUCCCCCUCCUCUCCCC
RNAcentral lists this long non-coding RNA (2274 nucleotides) under Macaca mulatta (Rhesus monkey). RNAcentral's name for it is "lncRNA (ENSMMUG00000055899.1)". The record is from RNAcentral. Lineage: Eukaryota; Metazoa; Chordata; Mammalia; Primates; Cercopithecidae.